UACAGUCUUCCAAGAAACAGAUGAGGGACAAGGCAAACUCACAAUUUAUUUUAUUUUUAUUUAUUUAACACAUUUCUAUACUGCCCAAAACCUAUGUCUCUGGGCGGUUCACAAUUGAGAGAAAGCAGUGGGACAGCCAGUCAGAUAUAAUGAUAUAUGGAUGAAUAGUUUCACACAGCAUUAGAUACAGCUGAAGUUGCAGAGCAUUCGUACAAGCAGCUGCUACAUCAAUUCCCCAGAAAAGGAAUAUUCCAGUUUAAGGAUUUUUAAAUACUUGGACCACUAAACUAAUUUGCUUUGGCAAACAUCACUGGACUUCUUCUGAAGGCAGGAAUUAAGGACACACGGUGAAGUAAAGACGGCAUUUGGAGUAAUAAGACAGCUCACCAGAUACGUAAUGGAGCCUUCCAGUGGCUACAAUAAGCAGCUUCUGCACAAUUGUUAAUGAAGACCUGCAGCAGGUUCCAUCCAGGGAUGACAAAGAACAUUAUUAGAGGACUGAGGAUUUUGCGAUGUGUUACAUACUUACAGAGCCGAGCCCUUCCUCCUACAGAGAGAUCCUGUUCCCUAUUAUAGUCUAUGUUAAUAGGAGAAAGUUCUCUUCAGAUUGAUAACAACUUGGAAGGAGUACAGCCAUGUUUCUGGCUUAACAGAGUCUGGUUUAAUGCUUUCA
This is a long non-coding RNA of Hemicordylus capensis (graceful crag lizard), 673 nucleotides long. RefSeq lists it as uncharacterized. The transcript is spliced from 6 exons. The record is from RefSeq and is a predicted model, not a curated record. NCBI's taxonomy places the organism in Eukaryota, Metazoa, Chordata, Lepidosauria, Squamata, Cordylidae.